Juglans microcarpa x Juglans regia is the source of this 262-nucleotide long non-coding RNA. RefSeq lists it as uncharacterized. NCBI's taxonomy places the organism in Eukaryota, Viridiplantae, Streptophyta, Magnoliopsida, Fagales, Juglandaceae. The transcript has 2 exons. The record is from RefSeq and is a predicted model, not a curated record.
UGCUGCCACCUUGAACGAUGCCCUUUUCGCUUGAUCUUCCAGAUUUAUUCCCCUUUUCAUGUAUGUAAUUUUCCAGUUUUAAUAAUAAUAUUGUUAUAAUUGUUAUUUGUAAACUGUUAAUUUGUUGGUUGUUGGAAUUGGGCCUUGAGCCGGAUUGGAGGACGAGAUUACGCAUGUAGUUGGUUAUAAACUGUAUUUUUGUAAUUUUUGUGAAUUUGUAAAUGAGAUAUUUAAAUGUAUUCCAAUAAACUAUUGAAAUGUA